AUUGAACGCUGGCGGCAUGCUUUACACAUGCAAGUCGAACGGCAGCACGCAAGUGCUUGCUCUUUUGGUGGCGAGUGGCGAACGGGUGAGACAUGCAUCGGAACGUACCGAGUUAUGGGGGAUAACUGUCCGCAAGGAUAGCUAAUACCGCAUACGCUUUGAGAAGGAAAGUGGGGGCUCUUCGGACCUCACGUUAUUCUAGCGGCCGAUGUCUGAUUCGCUAGUUGGUGGGGUAAAGGCCUACCAAGUCGACGAUCAGUAGCGGGUCGGAGAGGAUGGUCCGCGACACGGGGAGUGAGACACGGCCCAGACUCCUACGGGAGGCAGCAGUGGGGAAUGUUGGACAAUGGGCGCAAGCCUGAUACAGCCAUGCCGCGUGUCUGAAGAAGGCCUUCGGGUUGUAAAGGACUUUUGUUAGGGAAGAAAAGGAUAGUGUUAAUACCAUGAGCUGCUGACGGUACCUAAAGAAUAAGCACCGGCUAACUACGUG
This 490-nucleotide ribosomal RNA is filed under the name uncultured bacterium. RNAcentral's name for it is "partial 16S ribosomal RNA". It matches the Rfam family "Bacterial small subunit ribosomal RNA", at positions 30 to 507 of the family's 1533-position model. The record is from RNAcentral.